AUUUUUAAGGAGGGAAAACAAUAACUUAUUUUGCAAUAUAAUUUAACAAUUUAGUAUAUUCAGGGAUAGAGUCCAUAUAUCCUUGAUAUAAAAUCUAAACCCAGUUUCUUGUAUCACACUAACAUAGCCAUACCAUACCUUCCAUGCUUAUUUCUCUGUCAUUUAGUGUGCAUAACAACAACGAUUCAAGCUUUUCGUGAAGAAAAAUCCUCAGUAGGAUGCUGGCCAGUAGUGUUCGGUCUUGUCCACAUACAUGUGAUAAAGCAUAGACUACAUGAAGUUCCUUUUGCAGUAUAAGCUAAAAUGACAUUUUAAAAGAUUGUUUAAAGUACAUAGCAUUAUAAGCAUGCUCCAUGAGACUAACAAGAAAUAUGUUAUUUCACAAGUUCUUAUAUUUAAAAUGAUGUCCCAUUGAAUAAAUUUAUUUAAAAUAGAAUGAAUUCGUAGUCUACCUAUUUCUACCAAAAUUACAGUAUAAAACAAGGUUUUAAAUCUUUGGCAUCAGUGUGCUACUAAGCUAUGAAUUACUAUGUUUACCUUAAUGGAUCUUUUAUUAAAUGUUAAAUGUUUCUGUUAAUUCCAACAAAAACAAGACUGAUAAACAAUUUAAUACCUCUUUAAAUUCACUGUACUCUUCUUCUGGCAUGAUUUUUUCCAUAGAGUAUCGUGCUCGAACACGCAGGGACCCUGGUUCAAUACCUUUUAAUGGUAUAUGGGAGCUGAGCAGAAACCAUUCAUCUGUGGCAUGCCCUUUCUGUAAUCGGCUCAACUGGCAGCGCAUAAAUACUUGGGAAGAAAAACAAGCAAUUAUUGUUUAAAAAGAUAACAUGAUAAUUAGUCAUGCAAGUAAAUUUUCCUGGUGUUCAGUCUUCCCUAUGGUGUUAAAUGCUUUUCAUUAAAGGAGUUUUCAGUAACAUCACAAA
This 923-nucleotide non-coding RNA is filed under the name Pan troglodytes (chimpanzee). Lineage: Eukaryota; Metazoa; Chordata; Mammalia; Primates; Hominidae. The record is from RNAcentral.